CGAGCGAGACCUUCGGGUCUAGCGGCGGACGGGUUAGUAACGCGUGGGAACGUGCCCUUCUCUACGGAAUAGUCCUGGGAAACUGGGUUUAAUACCGUAUACGCCCUUUUGGGGAAAGAUUUAUCGGAGAGGGAUCGGCCCGCGUUGGAUUAGGUAGUUGGUGGGGUAAUGGCCUACCAAGCCUACGAUCCAUAGCUGGUUUGAGAGGAUGAUCAGCAACACUGGGACUGAGACACGGCCCAG
RNAcentral lists this ribosomal RNA (243 nucleotides) under uncultured bacterium. RNAcentral's name for it is "partial 16S ribosomal RNA". It matches the Rfam family "Bacterial small subunit ribosomal RNA", at positions 63 to 334 of the family's 1533-position model. The record is from RNAcentral.